GAUGAACGCUGGCGGCGGGCCUAAUACAUGCAAGUCGAGCGAACAGACGAUGAGCUUGCUCCUCUGACGUUAGCGGCGGACGGGUGAGUAACAAGUGGAUAACCUACCUAUAAGACUGGGAUAACUUCGGGAAACCGGAGCUAAUACCGGAUAAUAUAUUGAACGGCAUGGUUCAAUAGUUAAAGACGGUUUUGCUGUCACUUAUAGAUGGAUCCGCGCCGGAUUAGCUAGUUGGUAAGGUAACGGCUUACCAAGGCGACGAUGCGUAGCCGACCUGAGAGGGUGAUCAGCCACACUGGAACUGAGACACGGUCCAGACUCCUACGGGAGGCAGCAGUGGGGAAUCUUGCGCAAUGGGCGAAAGCCUGACGGAGCAAUGCCGCGUGAGUGAUGAAGGUCUUCGGAUCGUAAAACUCUUUUAUUAGGAAAGAAAAAAAGUGUAAGUAACUAUGCACGUCUUGACGGUACCUAAACAGAAAGCCACGGCUAACUACGUG
Molecule: ribosomal RNA, 497 nt
Filed under: uncultured bacterium
Lineage: Bacteria
Description: partial 16S ribosomal RNA
Rfam family: Bacterial small subunit ribosomal RNA
Source: RNAcentral